CAUGUUUAAAAUCCUAAUAUGGUGUGUCCUACUGAUGAUCGGAGACCGUAGAUGCAUAGAUAUCGUCGAGACGAUUUCGAUCGACUACUAGUUUGCCUUGUUUGGAGUCUGAAUGAGUUUUUUCAAGUGCCGGUCGAUCUGAGCCAUUGGAUAUUAGGAUUGGGGGAGUUUUCUUCUAUUUAUACCUCCCUAACCCUAGCAGCCACGUCCUCCCACCCUAGCAGCCAUCCCCUUUUGUGCCUUGCCCCAAGAGAAGAGAGGAAGAACAAGGGAGAGAAGAGAGGGAAGAUUAGGUCACGCAGUCGCCUGUCGUCGUCAUCGUUCCUCUUCAAGAAUUGGUUGGAUUUCCUU
RNAcentral lists this unclassified non-coding RNA (351 nucleotides) under Zea mays. RNAcentral describes it as "misc RNA Zm00001eb087710". Lineage: Eukaryota; Viridiplantae; Streptophyta; Magnoliopsida; Poales; Poaceae. The record is from RNAcentral.